This 403-nucleotide ribosomal RNA is filed under the name Fusobacteriota bacterium. RNAcentral describes it as "Fusobacteria bacterium partial 16S ribosomal RNA". It matches the Rfam family "Bacterial small subunit ribosomal RNA", at positions 355 to 776 of the family's 1533-position model. Lineage: Bacteria; Fusobacteriati; Fusobacteriota. The record is from RNAcentral.
UGGGGAAUAUUGCACAAUGGGGGAAACCCUGAUGCAGCGACGCCGCGUGAGCGAAGAAGGUUUUCGAAUCCUAAAGCUCUGUCCUAUGGGAAGAUAAUGACGGUACCAUAGGAGGAAGCCCCGGCUAACUACGUGCCAGCAGCCGCGGUAAUACGUAGGGGGCAAGCGUUGUCCGGAAUCACUGGGCGUAAAGGGUUCGCAGGCGGAAAUGCAAGUCAGUUGUGAAAGGCAGAGGCUCAACCUCUGUAAGCAAUUGAAACUGUAUUUCUUGAGAUGUGGAGAGGCAAGUGGAAUUCCUAGUGUAGCGGUGAAAUGCGUAGAUAUUAGGAAGAAUACCGGUGGCGAAGGCGACUUGCUGGACACAAACUGACGCUGAGGAACGAAAGCGUGGGUAGCAAACAGG